This 1439-nucleotide ribosomal RNA is filed under the name Lactiplantibacillus plantarum. RNAcentral's name for it is "bacterial SSU rRNA". It matches the Rfam family "Bacterial small subunit ribosomal RNA". The record is from RNAcentral. Lineage: Bacteria; Bacillati; Bacillota; Bacilli; Lactobacillales; Lactobacillaceae.
CAUGCAAGUCGAACGAACUCUGGUAUUGAUUGGUGCUUGCAUCAUGAUUUACAUUUGAGUGAGUGGCGAACUGGUGAGUAACACGUGGGAAACCUGCCCAGAAGCGGGGGAUAACACCUGGAAACAGAUGCUAAUACCGCAUAACAACUUGGACCGCAUGGUCCGAGCUUGAAAGAUGGCUUCGGCUAUCACUUUUGGAUGGUCCCGCGGCGUAUUAGCUAGAUGGUGGGGUAACGGCUCACCAUGGCAAUGAUACGUAGCCGACCUGAGAGGGUAAUCGGCCACAUUGGGACUGAGACACGGCCCAAACUCCUACGGGAGGCAGCAGUAGGGAAUCUUCCACAAUGGACGAAAGUCUGAUGGAGCAACGCCGCGUGAGUGAAGAAGGGUUUCGGCUCGUAAAACUCUGUUGUUAAAGAAGAACAUAUCUGAGAGUAACUGUUCAGGUAUUGACGGUAUUUAACCAGAAAGCCACGGCUAACUACGUGCCAGCAGCCGCGGUAAUACGUAGGUGGCAAGCGUUGUCCGGAUUUAUUGGGCGUAAAGCGAGCGCAGGCGGUUUUUUAAGUCUGAUGUGAAAGCCUUCGGCUCAACCGAAGAAGUGCAUCGGAAACUGGGAAACUUGAGUGCAGAAGAGGACAGUGGAACUCCAUGUGUAGCGGUGAAAUGCGUAGAUAUAUGGAAGAACACCAGUGGCGAAGGCGGCUGUCUGGUCUGUAACUGACGCUGAGGCUCGAAAGUAUGGGUAGCAAACAGGAUUAGAUACCCUGGUAGUCCAUACCGUAAACGAUGAAUGCUAAGUGUUGGAGGGUUUCCGCCCUUCAGUGCUGCAGCUAACGCAUUAAGCAUUCCGCCUGGGGAGUACGGCCGCAAGGCUGAAACUCAAAGGAAUUGACGGGGGCCCGCACAAGCGGUGGAGCAUGUGGUUUAAUUCGAAGCUACGCGAAGAACCUUACCAGGUCUUGACAUACUAUGCAAAUCUAAGAGAUUAGACGUUCCCUUCGGGGACAUGGAUACAGGUGGUGCAUGGUUGUCGUCAGCUCGUGUCGUGAGAUGUUGGGUUAAGUCCCGCAACGAGCGCAACCCUUAUUAUCAGUUGCCAGCAUUAAGUUGGGCACUCUGGUGAGACUGCCGGUGACAAACCGGAGGAAGGUGGGGAUGACGUCAAAUCAUCAUGCCCCUUAUGACCUGGGCUACACACGUGCUACAAUGGAUGGUACAACGAGUUGCGAACUCGCGAGAGUAAGCUAAUCUCUUAAAGCCAUUCUCAGUUCGGAUUGUAGGCUGCAACUCGCCUACAUGAAGUCGGAAUCGCUAGUAAUCGCGGAUCAGCAUGCCGCGGUGAAUACGUUCCCGGGCCUUGUACACACCGCCCGUCACACCAUGAGAGUUUGUAACACCCAAAGUCGGUGGGGUAACCUUUUAGGAACCAGCCGCCU